UGGGGAAUUUUGGACAAUGGAGGCAACCCUGAUCCAGCCAUGCCGCGUGAGUGAAGAAGGCCUUCGGGUUGUAAAGCUCUUUCGAACGGGACGAAAUGGUUAGCGUGAAUAACGCUGACUGAUGACGGUACCGUAAUAAGAAGCACCGGCUAACUACGUGCCAGCAGCCGCGGUAAUACGUAGGGUGCGAGCGUUAAUCGGAAUUACUGGGCGUAAAGCGUGCGCAGGCGGUUCGCCAAGUCAGGUGUGAAAUCCCCGGGCUUAACCUGGGAAUUGCGCUUGAAACUAGCGGGCUUGAGUGUGGCAGAGGGGGGUGGAAUUCCACGUGUAGCAGUGAAAUGCGUAGAGAUGUGGAGGAACACCGAUGGCGAAGGCAGCCCCCUGGGUCAACACUGACGCUCAUGCACGAAAGCGUGGGGAGCAAACAGGAUUAGAUACCCUUGUAGUCCCUGAGCGGGCUGGCAAGGCGCAU
RNAcentral lists this ribosomal RNA (472 nucleotides) under uncultured bacterium. RNAcentral describes it as "bacterial SSU rRNA". It matches the Rfam family "Bacterial small subunit ribosomal RNA", at positions 355 to 825 of the family's 1533-position model. The record is from RNAcentral.